Long non-coding RNA from Sorghum bicolor (sorghum), 596 nucleotides. RefSeq lists it as uncharacterized. The record is from RefSeq and is a predicted model, not a curated record. The transcript is spliced from 3 exons. Lineage: Eukaryota; Viridiplantae; Streptophyta; Magnoliopsida; Poales; Poaceae.
CGUAGCUCCGUAGAUCCAUCGCCGAAGUUUCGGAUCUCGUUUCCGGCGAACUUUUCCGGCGAACGUUCGGCGAGCGUUUCCGGCCAUCUCCGGCAUCUCCAGCAGAAACCGUCACCAUCCCGAGAUGACAUCUUCUUCUUCGUUUCCGACCAUCGCGACCCUAUACGGCAUCACCGCGGCGUCACCGGCGACCCUGCGCCCCACGCUGUAACCCCCGCAGCACCCCGACCCGCGCCCCUUGGCGUGCUGCUGCGAGCAGGCAGGAGCCGCCGCUUCCUGCUCCGUGCAGUGCGUGCGAGCAGGCCACCCUGCACCGGCCCUAGCAGGCGGGCCGACCACCGCCGUAGCCUGGCACGGCCGCGCCGGCAGGCUACCCCACGACCAGGCCAAGCUAGCCCUCCCUCUCUGGCGCGACGCAGCAGAUGCACAACCAUGGCCAGAACUUGACGUUCGUGAGAAGAAGAUGACCCAAGAAGAAGUGUGGUUCGUCAACAGUGAAGAUCAGGCGCUGAGGACCGAUAAUCGAAGCAGAAGUUGGAGAUCAGAAAAAAGAAGCCAAAGAAUUCUGAGCAGAUAAACACUGGGAAUUAAGGCAA